Molecule: ribosomal RNA, 495 nt
Filed under: uncultured bacterium
Lineage: Bacteria
Description: bacterial SSU rRNA
Rfam family: Bacterial small subunit ribosomal RNA
Source: RNAcentral
AUUGAACGCUGGCGGCAUGCCUUACACAUGCAAGUCGAGCGGUAGAGAGGUGCUUGCAUCUCUUGAGAGCGGCGGACGGGUGAGUAAUGCCUAGGAAUCUGCCUGGUGGUGGGGGAUAACGUUCGGAAACGGACGCUAAUACCGCAUACGUCCUACGGGAGAAAGACGGGGGAGUCUUCGGACCUCGCGCCAUUAGAUGAGCCUAGGUCGGAUUAGCUAGUUGGUGAGGUAAUGGCUCACCAAGGCGACGAUCCGUAACUGGUCUGAGAGGAUGAUCAGUCACACUGGAACUGAGACACGGCCCAGACUCCUACGGGAGGCAGCAGUGGGGAAUAUUGGACAAUGGGCGAAAGCCUGAUCCAGCCAUGCCGCGUGUGUGAAGAAGGUCUUCGGAUUGUAAAGCACUUUAAGUUGGGAGGAAGGGUAGGUAACCUAAUACGUUGCUACUUUGUACGUACCGACAGAAUAAGACACCGGCUAACUUCGUGCCAGCAG